This 1346-nucleotide ribosomal RNA is filed under the name uncultured bacterium. RNAcentral's name for it is "partial 16S ribosomal RNA". It matches the Rfam family "Bacterial small subunit ribosomal RNA", at positions 28 to 1381 of the family's 1533-position model. The record is from RNAcentral.
GACGAACGCUGGCGGCGUGCUUAACACAUGCAAGUCGAACGGAAAGGCCCUGCUUUUGUGGGGUGCUCGAGUGGCGAACGGGUGAGUAACACGUGAGUAACCUGCCCUUGACUUUGGGAUAACUUCAGGAAACUGGGGCUAAUACCGGAUAGGAGCUCCUGCUGCAUGGUGGGGGUUGGAAAGUUUCGGCGGUUGGGGAUGGACUCGCGGCUUAUCAGCUUGUUGGUGGGGUAGUGGCUUACCAAGGCUUUGACGGGUAGCCGGCCUGAGAGGGUGACCGGCCACAUUGGGACUGAGAUACGGCCCAGACUCCUACGGGAGGCAGCAGUGGGGAAUAUUGCACAAUGGGCGGAAGCCUGAUGCAGCAACGCCGCGUGCGGGAUGACGGUCUUCGGGUUGUAAACCGCUUUCGCCUGUGACGAAGCGUGAGUGACGGUAAUGGGUAAAGAAGCACCGGCUAACUACGUGCCAGCAGCCGCGGUGAUACGUAGGGUGCGAGCGUUGUCCGGAUUUAUUGGGCGUAAAGGGCUCGUAGGUGGUUGAUCGCGUCGGAAGUGUAAUCUUGGGGCUUAACCCUGAGCGUGCUUUCGAUACGGGUUGACUUGAGGAAGGUAGGGGAGAAUGGAAUUCCUGGUGGAGCGGUGGAAUGCGCAGAUAUCAGGAGGAACACCAGUGGCGAAGGCGGUUCUCUGGGCCUUUCCUGACGCUGAGGAGCGAAAGCGUGGGGAGCGAACAGGCUUAGAUACCCUGGUAGUCCACGCUGUAAACGGUGGGUACUAGGUGUGGGGUCCAUUCCACGGGUUCCGUGCCGUAGCUAACGCUUUAAGUACCCCGCCUGGGGAGUACGGCCGCAAGGCUAAAACUCAAAGGAAUUGACGGGGCCCCGCACAAGCGGCGGAGCAUGCGGAUUAAUUCGAUGCAACGCGUAGAACCUUACCUGGGUUUGACAUGGAUCGGGAGUGCUCAGAGAUGGGUGUGCCUCUUUUGGGGUCGGUUCACAGGUGGUGCAUGGCUGUCGUCAGCUCGUGUCGUGAGAUGUUGGGUUAAGUCCCGCAACGAGCGCAACCCUUGUUCACUGUUGCCAGCACGUUAUGGUGGGGACUCAGUGGAGACCGCCGGGGUCAACUCGGAGGAAGGUGGGGAUGACGUCAAGUCAUCAUGCCCCUUAUGUCCAGGGCUUCACGCAUGCUACAAUGGCUGGUACAGAGAGUGGCGAGCCUGUGAGGGUGAGCGAAUCUCGGAAAGCCGGUCUCAGUUCGGAUUGGGGUCUGCAACUCGACCUCAUGAAGUCGGAGUCGCUAGUAAUCGCAGAUCAGCAACGCUGCGGUGAAUACGUUCCCGGGGCU